GACGAACGCUGGCGGCGUGCCUAAUACAUGCAAGUUGAGCGCUGAAGGUUGGUACUUGUACCAACUGGAUGAGCAGCGAACGGGUGAGUAACGCGUGGGGAAUCUGCCUUUGAGCGGGGGACAACAUUUGGAAACGAAUGCUAAUACCGCAUAAAAACUUUAAACACAAGUUUUAAGUUUGAAAGAUGCAAUUGCAUCACUCAAAGAUGAUCCCGCGUUGCAUUAGCUAGUUGGUGAGGUAAAGGCUCACCAAGGCGAUGAUACAUAGCCGACCUGAGAGGGUGAUCGGCCACAUUGGGGAUGAGACACGGCCCAAACUCCUACGGGAGGCAGCAGUAGGGAAUCUUCGGCAAUGGACGAAAGUCUGACCGAGCAACGCCGCGUGAGUGAAGAAGGUUUUCGGAUCGUAAAACUCUGUUGGUAGAGAAGAACGUUGGUGAGAGUGGAAAGCUCAUCAAGUGACGGUAACUACCCAGAAAAGGACGGCUAACUACGUG
RNAcentral lists this ribosomal RNA (497 nucleotides) under uncultured bacterium. Its description in RNAcentral is "partial 16S ribosomal RNA". It matches the Rfam family "Bacterial small subunit ribosomal RNA", at positions 28 to 507 of the family's 1533-position model. The record is from RNAcentral.